GGGCUGUGGUGAUACUUCCCCCCUGACAGAGCAUUGACUGUGGUUAUGAGAAAUGGCUGUUCCAACUAUGAGUGUUUUCGGGCAUUCUAAUUUGAAAACUUAAGAAUGGAACACCAAACCCAAGUUAUAAACAUUAUAUUACUCUAUAAAACAGAUAUUAUUGAGCUAAAGAAGGGGAGAAAACAAUAAUGGAAAAGGAAGCAGCUGCUAUGUUACGGGACUAUCUUGAGUCCUGGGUUUCUGUCUCUGACUGGAAGGCUGUUUUUAUCAUGACCUUCCUGGCAGUUGUUUUUGAGCUACUCCUCCUGGAACUUUGUAAGACUUGUCAUAAAAAGAUUUCAGAAAGAAAGGUCCAAAAGGAGAGCUGCUCAGAUUCUUCGGAGGAGGAAGAAAAUUCUUUUCUGAAAAACUUGGAAUAUGAGAACUGGCCACAUGCUGAAUUACCUCCAAAAAGAAGAAAGGCAACUGGAAGUCAAUCUAGCUGUUGGACCUUAACCACUUGGGCCUUCAAACAACAGGAAGAAUGGGAUUGGAAGAACCACUGAGGGCCUUCAAAAGGCCAUGUCAGUAGCCAAGAGGCUGUCUUCUUAGUCUCUGACCACCCCACAUUUAAUCUUCUUUUCAUUUUCAUUGGCUCCUUUUUUGGCAACUUAGUG
Molecule: long non-coding RNA, 656 nt
Filed under: Phascolarctos cinereus (koala)
Lineage: Eukaryota; Metazoa; Chordata; Mammalia; Diprotodontia; Phascolarctidae
Description: lncRNA (ENSPCIG00000036840.1)
Source: RNAcentral